CUGAGAGUUUGAUCCUGGCUCAGAACGAACGCUGGCGGCAGGCUUAACACAUGCAAGUCGAACGAACUCUUCGGAGUUAGUGGCAGACGGGUGAGUAACGCGUGGGAAUAUACCUUUCGGUACGGAACAACAGUUGGAAACGACUGCUAAUACCGUAUGCGCCCUAUGGGGGAAAGAUUUAUCGCCGAAGGAUUAGCCCGCGUUGGAUUAGCUAGUUGGUGGGGUAAAGGCCUACCAAGGCGACGAUCCAUAGCUGGUCUGAGAGGAUGAUCAGCCACAUCGGGACUGAGACACGGCCCGAACUCCUACGGGAGGCAGCAGUGGGGAAUAUUGGACAAUGGGGGCAACCCUGAUCCAGCCAUGCCGCGUGUGUGAAGAAGGCUUUCGGGUUGUAAAGCACUUUCAGUGAGGAGGAAAACUCUGCGACUAAUACUCGUAGGGCUUGACGUUACUCACAGAAGAAGCACCGGCUAACUCCGUGCCAGCAGCCGCGGUAAUACGGAGGGUGCAAGCGUUAAUCGGAAUUACUGGGCGUAAAGCGCACGUAGGCGGAUCA
This 556-nucleotide ribosomal RNA is filed under the name Chrysotila carterae. RNAcentral describes it as "partial Bacterial small subunit ribosomal RNA". It matches the Rfam family "Bacterial small subunit ribosomal RNA", at positions 1 to 582 of the family's 1533-position model. Lineage: Eukaryota; Haptophyta; Isochrysidales; Isochrysidaceae. The record is from RNAcentral.